AUUAUAGAAUACAAGUGUGAACAUUGCAGAGGCUAGGCCUUGCAGGUCAAACCCAUUCAAAAGAUUAGGUGGGCCAAUACGAACCGACUUAACAGCACACACCCUCAUAUCAAAUUCCUUAAUUCCAUCAAAUGUAAUCCAUACUACUAUAUAUACAAACAAUGACAGAGCCCCAUAAGUAUUUUUAGACAGAUACAACAGUUGCUCAAAGAAACAACAGUAUCUUAUACCCGGUGCUCCUCUAGUUCCAUAAUGCCGAAAUCCAAUCCACAAGAGAAUCAGCCCCCACAAGGGUACCCACCGGCUAAUCCCCCUACUGGGAAGAAUUGCUGUCCUCGUUCAAAGAGUAAAGGAGACAGGGGCUUCAUUGAGGGAUGCCUCUUCGCUCUAUGUUGCUGCUGGAUUUGUGAAGCUUGCUUCUGAAUGAUGAUUUCAAAUGGCGGAGCCUUGCUACAAAUAAAUAGUGUUGUUUAUCCUACUACUGAAUUCUCUUCAUGACAGGAUCAUAUAUUCUAAUAAAAUGUAACUAUUUGUGAGAUAUCAACAAAAGAACCUAGUAGAUGUUUAUUUUCUGCCUUAGAUCAGGUCCUUUCUCCUUACCAUUACUUUAAUCUUCUAGUUUGCUAAUAAUAUGUAACUGUUUCUGAGAUUAUUAGCCAAAGAAUCUAUAAAGCCAUCUUAGAUAA
Vitis vinifera (wine grape) is the source of this 686-nucleotide long non-coding RNA. RefSeq lists it as uncharacterized. The record is from RefSeq and is a predicted model, not a curated record. Lineage: Eukaryota; Viridiplantae; Streptophyta; Magnoliopsida; Vitales; Vitaceae. The transcript has 3 exons.